AGAGUAAUGGCGACCGUGGACAUGGCACCUGCCCGGUAAGCAGAAGGUUGUGGGUUCGAUUCCCGCCCCUGGGCACUUUUAUUUUU
Non-coding RNA from Cordylochernes scorpioides, 86 nucleotides. NCBI's taxonomy places the organism in Eukaryota, Metazoa, Arthropoda, Arachnida, Pseudoscorpiones, Chernetidae. The record is from the annotation of a GenBank genome assembly.